GACGAACCGAGCGAACGUUGUUCGGAAUCACUGGGCGUAAAGGGCGCGUAGGCGGGGAGGUAAGUCGGGUGUGAAAUCCCUCGGCUCAACCGAGGAACUGCGCCCGAGACUGCUUCUCUUGAGUCUCGGAGAGGAAGGUGGAAUUCCCGGUGUAGCGGUGAAAUGUGUAGAGAUCGGGAGGAACACCGGUGGCGAAGGCGGCCUUCUGGACGGUGACUGACGCUGAGGCGCGAAAGCGUGGGGAGCAAACGGG
RNAcentral lists this ribosomal RNA (253 nucleotides) under uncultured bacterium. Its description in RNAcentral is "partial 16S ribosomal RNA". It matches the Rfam family "Bacterial small subunit ribosomal RNA", at positions 524 to 776 of the family's 1533-position model. The record is from RNAcentral.